GACGAACGCUGGCGGCGUGCUUAACACAUGCAAGUCGAACGGAAAGGCUCCAGCUUGCUGGAGUACUCGAGUGGCGAACGGGUGAGUAACACGUGGGUAAUCUGCCCUGCACUCUGGGAUAAGCCUGGGAAACUGGGUCUAAUACUGGAUAUGACCUUUCUCCUUAUGGGGUUUGGUGGAAAGUUUUUCGGUGUAGGAUGGGCCCGCGGCCUAUCAGCUUGUUGGUGGGGUGAUGGCCUACCAAGGCGACGACGGGUAGCCGGCCUGAGAGGGUGAUCGGCCACAUUGGGACUGAGAUACGGCCCAGACUCCUACGGGAGGCAGCAGUGGGGAAUAUUGCACAAUGGGCGGAAGCCUGAUGCAGCGACGCCGCGUGAGGGAUGACGGCCUUCGGGUUGUAAACCUCUUUCAGCAGGGACGAAGCGUAAGUGACGGUACCUGCAGAAGAAGCACCGGCUAACUACGUG
This 467-nucleotide ribosomal RNA is filed under the name uncultured bacterium. Its description in RNAcentral is "partial 16S ribosomal RNA". It matches the Rfam family "Bacterial small subunit ribosomal RNA", at positions 28 to 507 of the family's 1533-position model. The record is from RNAcentral.